This 492-nucleotide ribosomal RNA is filed under the name uncultured bacterium. RNAcentral describes it as "partial 16S ribosomal RNA". It matches the Rfam family "Bacterial small subunit ribosomal RNA", at positions 29 to 507 of the family's 1533-position model. The record is from RNAcentral.
AGUGAACGCUGGCGGUAUGCCUAACACAUGCAAGUCGAACGGCAGCACAGUAAGAGCUUGCUCUUACGGGUGGCGAGUGGCGGACGGGUGAGGAAUACAUCGGAAUCUACUUUUUCGUGGGGGAUAACGUAGGGAAACUUACGCUAAUACCGCAUACGACCUACGGGUGAAAGCAGGGGAUCUUCGGACCUUGCGCGAUUGAUUGAGCCGAGGUCGGAUUAGCUAGUUGGCGGGGUAAAGGCCCACCAAGGCGACGAUCCGUAGCUGGUCUGAGAGGAUGAUCAGCCACACUGGAACUGAGACACGGUCCAGACUCCUACGGGAGGCAGCAGUGGGGAAUAUUGGACAAUGGGCGAAAGCCUGAGCCAGCAAUACCGCGUGGGUGAAGAAGGCCUUCGGGUUGUAAAGCCCUUUUGUUGGGAAAGAAAAGCAGCAGGUUAAUACCCCGCUGUUCUGACGGUACCCAAAGAAUAAGCACCGGCUAACUUCGUG